GUAGGCCAACUGAAGGGACGCCAAAAAAAAAAAAAAAAACUAUUAAAUCUGCUUCUAUAAACGAUACAGACUUAUCACUUCUAUCUGUAUCUGUUUGAUUCCAUCAAUUCUAUGAAUUUGGCAAAAGCUUAAAUGCUUAGUAAAUGUUUAAACGCCUAUAAAUGGUGUAAAGCAUGACGAGGGAUGCUCAUAAUGUUAUGAAAACUCACAAAACCAAAGAAUCAGAAAUGACCAACAUUCCGAUCCCAUUCCAUGUCCAUUACCAGCUACAGGAAUUCUUACUGCUGCCCUCCUUUAUUAUUUCCCUUAUUCUGGCCAUGGUUGUUAUCAAAUGGGUAUUUUUCACCAAUCCAAGCAAUAACAACCUUCCCCCCUCACCAUCAAAGCUGCCAAUAAUAGGUAACCUCCACCAAUUAGGAAUGACCCCACACCGCUCUCUGACGUCCUUAGCCAGGCUACACGGCCCCAUUAUGCUGCUGCAACUUGGCAGAGAACGUACCUUUGUGAUCUCGUCACCGAACUUUGCUCGUGAGAUAAUGAAAACUCACGACAUAAUAUUUGCAAACAGACCCUAUUCCAGUAUUGCUAGAAAACUUCUCUAUGAUUACAGGGACUUGUCCUGGUCCCCUUAUGGUGAAUAUUGGAGGCAAAUGAGGAGCAUUUGUGUAAUGCGGCUUCUUAGCACAAGAAGGGUACAGUCAUUUAGGUCUUUAAGAGAAGAAGAGACAAUUCAAAUGAUUGAAAAAGUAGCAUUACGAUCUUGUUCGGGUUCGUCUCCAAUUGAUUUAAGUGAAAUAUUAAUUUCGCUUACAAACAAUGUAACAUGCAGGGCUGCUUUUGGUAUGACAUGCGGUGAAGGUGAAGCUGGGGGUAAACUUAAGAAACUUUUAGAAGAACUCGGGGAAUUGUUAGGUAUGUUCUGUGUUGGGGAUUUCAUUCCAUGGCUGGCCUUUUUAGAUAAAUUAACCGGUCUGGAUGCUAGGGUGGAGAGGGUUUUCAAACAUUUGGAUAAUUUUUUGAAUUAUGUUAUUGACCAUCACAUGACUCGUCAACGUCAAGAUGUAGCAACCAAUGGUGGUGUGAUCGUGAAGGAGGAUCAAAAGGACUUCUUGGAUGUUCUUCUUGAAAUUCAAAAUGAUGGCACAAAUGGCAUUAGCAUGGCUAGAGAGAACAUGAAAGCCAUUAUCCUGGUAAGCACAUUUUGCCUAAUCAAUCCAAGCUAGCUCCAAAGGCAGAUUAUUUAUUUACAUGCAAACGCACAAGAAUCUUAAUACAAGAUCGCUAUAUAUGCUAUGAUCAAUGCGUUAUAAUCAAUUUCUUGUAGGACAUGUUUGCUGGUGGAACGGAUACCACUUACACUGCUCUAGAAUGGGCACUGACAGAGCUUAUAAAGCAUAGCAAAACUAUGAAAAAGGUGCAGGAAGAGGUGAGACGGAUUGCUGGAAGCAAAUCUUACAUUAAUGAAGAUCAUAUAGAGAAAAUGUUUUACCUCAAGGCAGUGAUAAAGGAGACUUUACGACUACACCCUCCAGUUCCAUUGCUGCUUCCGCGACAAGCAACAAAAGAUGUCCAGGUAGGAGGCUACAACAUUCCUGCCAAAUCCAGAGUUAUUAUCAAUGCGUGGGCAAUAGGGAGAGAUCCUGCUUCAUGGGAAGAACCAGAGAAAUUUAAACCUGAGAGGUUCCUGGACAACUGUUCAAGUUUCAAAGGGAAUGAUUUUCAGUUCAUUCCUUUCGGAGCUGGUAGAAGGGGGUGUCCUGGAGCUACAUUUGCUAUUGCAAUUGUUGAGCUUGUAUUGUCAAAUCUAUUGUACAAGUUUG
This 1820-nucleotide long non-coding RNA is filed under the name Citrus maxima (pomelo). RNAcentral describes it as "long non-coding RNA (CMAX_LNC002094)". Lineage: Eukaryota; Viridiplantae; Streptophyta; Magnoliopsida; Sapindales; Rutaceae. The record is from RNAcentral.